AUGCUGGGAUCCAUCACCCUCCUACUCGCCUCCCUGCUCCCUGCUGGACAGACGGCUCUCUCCCUGAACCAGCCAACAGUCUCCAUCACCAGACAGUAUGGGAAGCCCGCAACGAUUCUCUGUGAGUUUUCUGACAGUAGGAUCACGUACAUCCACUGGUAUCUCCAGCAGCCCGGGAAGGCUCCCCAGCGCCUGCUCUACUUUAACAUGGCCACGUCGCUAACCACGAUGGAUUCAGGAUUUAGCUCCUGGAAAUUCCAAGCUGACAAGAUUGAUGAUCAAAGCUGCACCCUGAUGAUCAGGGACCUGGGGUGGAGUGAUGCUGGCAUCUAUUACUGUGCCAGCUGGGACUCCAUGGUGACACAGAUCCCUCUGCCCUUCACACAAAAACUCACUCUGUGGUGA
This is a non-coding RNA of Tachyglossus aculeatus (Australian echidna), 405 nucleotides long. The record is from the annotation of a RefSeq genome assembly. Lineage: Eukaryota; Metazoa; Chordata; Mammalia; Monotremata; Tachyglossidae.